AAAUACAACAAUUUAGUAAUUUUUUAAUUGAAUUAAUGUCGGAUUGACUUAUGACACUAAAUCAACAAGUAAAGAAGGGCAUCUGUAAUAGGUCAAUUUUGGCCUGGGCCCAGAUCAAAACUAAAAAAAAAAACCCAAAUAAAUAAAAGUCCAAAAAGAUUAAUAGUCCAUUACAAUGAAUAAAAGCCUACCACCCAAUUACCAGCCCAAAACAAAAAGCAAGCCCAAUCAAACUAGUCCACUACUUAAUCAAAUAACC
This 259-nucleotide long non-coding RNA is filed under the name Gossypium raimondii (Peruvian cotton). RNAcentral describes it as "long non-coding RNA (GRAI_LNC011020)". The record is from RNAcentral. Lineage: Eukaryota; Viridiplantae; Streptophyta; Magnoliopsida; Malvales; Malvaceae.